AGUGAACGCUGGCGGUAGGCCUAACACAUGCAAGUCGAACGGCAGCACAGUAGGAGCUUGCUCUUACGGGUGGCGAGUGGCGGACGGGUGAGGAAUACAUCGGAAUCUACUUUUUCGUGGGGGUUACGGAAGGAAGCUUUCGCUUAUUCCCCAAUCGAACUACGGGUGAAAAGCAGGGGUUCUUCGGACUUGCCCGGAUGGAUGAGCCGAUGUCGGAUUAGCUAGUUGGCGGGGUAAAGGCCCACCAAGGCGACGAUCCGUAGCUGGUCUGAGAGGAUGAUCAGCCACACUGGAACUGAGACACGGUCCAGACUCCUACGGGAGGCAGCAGUGGGGAAUAUUGGACAAUGGGCGCAAGCCUGAUCCAGCCAUACCGCGUGGGUGAAGAAGGCCUUCGGGUUGUAAAGCCCUUUUGUUGGGAAAGAAAAGCAGCAGGUUAAUACCCCGCUGUUCUGACGGUACCCAAAGAAUAAGCACCGGCUAACUUCGUG
This 491-nucleotide ribosomal RNA is filed under the name uncultured bacterium. RNAcentral's name for it is "partial 16S ribosomal RNA". It matches the Rfam family "Bacterial small subunit ribosomal RNA", at positions 29 to 507 of the family's 1533-position model. The record is from RNAcentral.